GAGGAAAGUGGGGGGCAUGCUUUACACAUGCAAGUCGUACGGGAAGUGGUGUUUCCCGUGGCGGACGGGUGAGUAACGCGUAAGAACCUGCCCUUGGGAGGGGAACAACAGCUGGAAACGGCUGCUAAUACCCCGUAGGCUGAGGAGCGAAAGGAGGAAUCCGCCCAAGGAGGGGCUCGCGUCUGAUUAGCUAGUUGGUGAGGUAAUAGCUUACCAAGGCCGUGAUCAGUAGCUGGUCCGAGAGGAUGAUCAGCCACACUGGGACUGAGACAAGGCCCAGACUCCUACGGGAGGCAGCAGUGGGGAAUUUUCCGCAACGGGCGAAAGCCUGACGGAGCAAUGCCGCGUGGAGGUAAAAGGCCUACGGGUCAUGAACUUCUUUUCCUGGAGAAGAAACAAUGACGGUAGCUGGGGAAUAAGCAUCGGCUAACUCUGUG
RNAcentral lists this ribosomal RNA (437 nucleotides) under uncultured bacterium. RNAcentral's name for it is "partial 16S ribosomal RNA". It matches the Rfam family "Bacterial small subunit ribosomal RNA", at positions 31 to 507 of the family's 1533-position model. The record is from RNAcentral.